Molecule: non-coding RNA, 85 nt
Organism: Felis catus (domestic cat)
Lineage: Eukaryota; Metazoa; Chordata; Mammalia; Carnivora; Felidae
Source: Rfam
GCCCGGGUGGCUCAGUCAGUUGAGCGUCUGACUUUGGCUCAGGUCAUGGUCUCGCCGUUCGUGAGUUCGAGCCCCGCGUCGGGCU